AUUUAAAUCAUACUCUCCCUACCUUUGGUUUCCACCUACACCAUCAGGAGUCCCAAAACAGCACCCUGAAGUUCUCUGGGGCUCCACCUCCUCACAUCCAGCCAUGCCCUAGAUGUCAUCACUGAACAUCCUCGAAGCACCUCCUUGACAGUGAACCAACCCCUGAAACAUCUUCCCCAGGUCUGGUCUUCUUUUACCAAAAGGCACCGUUUAGCAAUUGCCCAGGUCAAAAACAAGGACUUCUCUCCCUGCCUUGCCAAGGCCAAUCCACCCAUCCAACCACGGAAGCCCUCUUCUCUGCCAUUGUGCCUCUUCUCCCCUCAACUACUACAACAGGCUGCCCACCGGCCCAGGAGCCCUGUGCCUCUGUCUCCCUCAUUCCAAUGCGGCUUCCACACCAGCUACCAGAAAAACAAAUCUGUGGGCUGGGAAGUCAUCUCUAGGCAUAGCAGGAAACCCCAAAACCAAAAAGGAAAAGACUAAGGGAUAUGACCAAAGAAAACCCCAAAUUUUCUGCCCUCUAAAAAAUAAAACACGACUGAGAUUGAAGGCAAACCCGAAGGGGCAUGUGCACCCGAAUGUUUAUAGCAGCGAUGUCCACAGUAUCCAAACUAUGGAAAGAGCCUAGACAUCCAUCAACAGAUAAAUGGAAUAUAAUGGAAUAUGAUGCAGCCAUCAAAGACCCCAAAAUCUUGCCAUUUACAACAAUGUGGAUGGAACUAGAGGGUAUUAUAGUAAGCGAAAUAAGUCAAUCAGAGAAAGACAAUUAUCGUAUGAUCUCACUGAUAAGAGGAAUUUGAGAAAGAAGACAGAGGAUCAUAGGGAAAGGGAGGGAAAAAUGAAACACGAUGAAACCAGAGAGGGAGACAAACCAUAAGAGACUCUUAAUCUCAGGAAACAAACUGAGGGUUGCUGGAGGGUGAGGCAGGGGCAGGGAUAGGGUGGCUGGUUAUGGACAUUGGGGAGGGCAUGUGCUAUGGUGAGUGCUGUGAAAGUGUAAGACUGAUGAUUCACAGACCUGUACCCCCGAAGUAAAUAAUACAUUACAUGUUAAGAAAAAAAGAAAAAUACAGGAUUAAUAUUCCUGCCAUACCACGUACUCUCUCAAAUUAGGAAAAAAGAUACAAAUGCUGUGAUAGAAAACUUUCAAACACAUCAGAGUAUAAAAGGCCAGUAAACGAGACGCCAAUCUCAGUAAUAACCAGAGAGGGACAUUAAAUCAACCACAAACCAUCACAUGGUGCCUAUCAGAUGGGAAAGGUGAAAGAACCUCCAUGUUGACAAGCGAAUGGAGAAAUAUGUUCUCUGCGUGCGCAAGCACAAGUUGAUUCAGUCUAUUUAAAGAGCAACUUGGCAAUGUGGGCACCAAAUAUGGACAUUUGUGUGCAGCAAAAUUUAAAAAACCUUAUACCUUUGGACCCAGCAAUCCCUCUUUUCAGUGGUCAAGAAAUACUGCCACACGAGAGCUGUUUUCAGGAGAGAUGCAGCUGGGGAGAGAUGGAUGUUUACUACAGCCUACUAUGUGCUUGGACUUGGACUUCGUGUUUUCUUAUGUAACCCACAGGCAGCCCUGUGAAGAAGGGACUGUUGUCACUUCACAGGAGAGGACAAAAGGAGGCUCACAGUCAGACUGCUGAACAGAAAUCAAGGCUCGGAGAUGUAAGUGACUUGCCCAAGAACACAGCCUGAGCCGCUCGGGAUUUGCACUCCUGCUUCUGCAGCAUUAAAUCACUGCUUUGUUCCAGAAAUUCUCGGCAGGCGAGGAAAGGCACACCAGUGAAGAUGUUCUCCAUCGCACUUCCCGUCGCAGGGAGAGCACAGAAGGCACCCGCCCGCUCGUCCGUCGGCACACGGAUGCACGAGCCAGCACGCAAUCAGUCCCAGCUCAGCCAACCACCCAUGCACCUGCAUGGGUGCCACGGAGCCACCGGACAGAAGGAAGAAGUUCUGUAUGUGCAGCCACCAAACAACAUUUGUGACUCUUUGCAUGGAACAAAAUAUAAGCCAUUCUGAAGUACAGUGAUGAAGCAUGGGCUCCUACACGGUCCCCUACCUGGGCUUCCCUCCUCCAGUCUGACCUCCUCAAAGUGACCAGACCUGGGCUGUGAGCAACCCCAGAGCAGAAAGUGUGCUGGUCUCGUCCACUCCCUAACAAGAGUGCUCACCCAUCAUUCGGCGGCGGGCUCCGAGAACACCCCAUCUCGCUGCGGGCUGGCACAUGCUGUCCUCCGACUCCGAGUGUGAGCCCCUCACUCACCCUGCUGUUCUGGGGGUUUUGGGGCCUCAGCACAAAUACUUCUUUUUGAAAGUCCUUUUAGGCCCGUUUGUUCUCUACUCAGAAACAACUUACCUUUUCUUUA
Long non-coding RNA from Mustela lutreola (European mink), 2360 nucleotides. RefSeq lists it as uncharacterized. The record is from RefSeq and is a predicted model, not a curated record. Lineage: Eukaryota; Metazoa; Chordata; Mammalia; Carnivora; Mustelidae. The transcript has 5 exons.